RNAcentral lists this long non-coding RNA (207 nucleotides) under Mytilus galloprovincialis (Mediterranean mussel). The record is from RNAcentral. Lineage: Eukaryota; Metazoa; Mollusca; Bivalvia; Mytilida; Mytilidae.
CAUAGAUAUAGGAAGAUGUGGUGUGAGUGCCAAUGAGACAACUCUCCAUCCAAAUAACAAUUUUUUUUAAAAUAAACCAUUAUAGGUCAAUGUACGGCCUUCAACACAGAGCCUUGGCUCACACCGAACAACAAGCUAUAAAGGGCCCCAAAAUUACUAGUGUAAAACCAUUCAAACGGGAAAACCAACAGUCUAAUCUAUAUAAAA